RNAcentral lists this unclassified non-coding RNA (328 nucleotides) under soil metagenome. RNAcentral describes it as "partial contains 5.8S ribosomal RNA, internal transcribed spacer 2, and large subunit ribosomal RNA". The stretch from base 1 to 119 matches the Rfam family "5.8S ribosomal RNA", at positions 35 to 154 of the family's 154-position model. The record is from RNAcentral.
GAUGAAGAACGUAGUGAAAUGCGAUAAGUAAUGUGAAUUGCAGAAUUCAGUGAAUCAUCGAAUCUUUGAACGCACAUUGCGCCCCCUGGUAUUCCGGGGGGCAUGCCUGUCGAGCGUCAUUACAACCCUCAAGCUCAGCUUGGUGUUGGGCCCCGCCGCCCCGGCGGGCCCUAAAGUCAGUGGCGGUGCCGUCCGGCUCCGAGCGUAGUAAUUCUUUUCGCUCUGGAGGUCCGGUCGUGUGCUCGCCAGCAACCCCCAAUUUUUUUCAGGUUGACCUCGGAUCAGGUAGGGAUACCCGCUGAACUUAAGCAUAUCAAUAAGCGGAGGA